CGCGCCCCCCAUAGACGCGGGAUUACCCGCUGAAUUUAAGCAUAUCAAUAAGCGGG
This 56-nucleotide ribosomal RNA is filed under the name Juglans regia (Persian walnut). RNAcentral's name for it is "28S ribosomal RNA". The record is from RNAcentral. Lineage: Eukaryota; Viridiplantae; Streptophyta; Magnoliopsida; Fagales; Juglandaceae.